GAGCAGUCCUCAGCGAGAUUCAAAAAUUGAAGAAAUGAGAUCUCGCUCACCAGGGAAGGAGCCCAGAGAGUUUCCCAAGAGAAAGGCACUAUUCCACCAUGCAAGUGACAGACAGGAGACAAAUCGGAUACCAGCACAGGCAGCGUGUCAUCCUCAGUGGUUUUCAGAAAACAUGUGACUCGCGGAAAUCAAAGACUAUUACUACAGAGUAAUUACAAAGCAGAGUGAGCAACAGUAUCAAAUGUGACAAUUUUGAAUUAUCAUUAUCAUGCUCACGGGCCCUCAUCCUGGUGGGGGACUUCUACCAUCCGGACAUCUGUUGGAAAGACCACAUGGCGAGCUGCAAGAGGUCCAGAAGGCUCAUGGAAUCCACUGAUGAUAACUUUCUGGUCCAGGUAUUGGACAGACCAACCACAGGUGAAGCGUUGCUGGACCUGCUGCUCACCAACGAGGAAAAGAUCAUCAAAGGCAUCAACGCUGGAGGCAGUCUGGGCUGCAGCAACCGUGCCCUGGCUGAGUUCGUGAUCUCAAGGGAUGUGGGCCUGGCAAAGAGUGGGGUCAGGACCCUGAACUUUGGAAGAGCAAACUUUAAGCUGUUCAAUGGAUUGUUGGCCAAGAUCCCCUGGGAUGCUGUCCUUAAAGGUAAAGAUGUUGAGGAGAGCUGGCUACUCUUCGAGGAUGCCCUCCUGAAAGCACAAGAGGUCUCCAUCACUCUGAAUAAGAAAGUGGGCAGAUGAGAUAGGAAACCAGCAUGGCUCGGCAAGGACCUGCUGGGCACACUGAGGGCAAAGAAAGGUGUGUACAAGCUCUGGAAACAAGGGCGUGUCACGUGGGAAGAGUACAGGGAUGCUGUCCGGACUUGCAGACGUAGGAUCAGGAAAGCCAAGGCACAGGUAGAACUGAACUUGGCGAGGGUUGUGAAAAACAAUAAGAAGACAUUCUACAGGUACACUGGCCAGAAGAGACAGGCCAAAAUGGGUGUACCUUCUUUAGUAAAUUUAAAAGGAGAACUGGCUUCAACGGACAAAGAGAAAGCUGAGGUACUGAACAGGGCUCUUUGCCUCGGUCUUCACUGGCGGCCAGGAUUCUAGUGUUUCUCACGUCCCUGAGUCCUGCACCCCCAAUCCUCCAGGUGGGGACCAGGAGGGUAAAUCCCCUCCCACUGUAAGGGCAGAGCAAGUCCGAGACCACCUCAUGAGACUGGAUGAGUACAAGUCUUUGGGGCCAGAUGGUGUGCAUCCCAGGGUUCUGAAGGAACUGUCUGAGGUGGUUGCCAAGCCACUCUCCAUCAUAUUUGAGAAGUCAUGGCUGUCAGGCAAGGUCCCAGACGACUGGAGGAAGGGUUACGUCACUCCCAUUUACAAGAAAGAGAGCAAGGAGGACCUGGGGAACUACAGGCUGGUGAGUCUCACCUCUGUGCCUGGGAAGAUCAUGGAACAGAUCCUCCUGGAUGACAUGCUCGAUCACAUGAGGAAUGAGCGUGUGAUCCAAGACAGCCAGCAUGGCUUCACCAGGGGAAGGUCAUGCUUAACCAAUCUUGUGGCUUUCUAUGAUGGAGUGACGGCAUUGGUGGAUGAGGGGAAGGUGACCGACGUCAUAUACCUGAACUUGACCAAGGCCUUUGACAUGGUCCCCCACCACAUCCUUAUUUCCAAAUUGGAGGGAUUGAGGUCCCUUCCAACCCAGGCCAUUCUGUGAUUCUGUGAUUAAAAACAGAUCACAAGAAAUAAGUUCAUCCUCCAUAAAAAUAGCAGAUUAUUAUUAUUAAUGCUUAUUAUGUGUUUGCCCAGGACAUCACUGCGCAAAGUGCUGUAAAGCUGGAAAAAGUAAAUACUUCUUCUAUUCACUUUACAAACAUUCAAGGUUUCUUUCAAUCUUUCUAAAGUACAAGGAAGCACAAAGAACAGAUUCUGGUUCCAAAGAAAGAAAUGCACUUGUUUAACAGAUCGCUGACCCCUAUGAAUAUUUCUAAUGCAUUUAAUAAGAGUAAGAUGUAAUUUAUUGUACAGAUAUUCAACAUUAAACAGGUAUUUAUUG
This 2037-nucleotide long non-coding RNA is filed under the name Gallus gallus (chicken). RNAcentral describes it as "lncRNA (ENSGALG00010011550.1)". Lineage: Eukaryota; Metazoa; Chordata; Aves; Galliformes; Phasianidae. The record is from RNAcentral.